AUGGCUUCCGAGUCGUUCGGCGAGAUCGCUCUGCGCAUUCUCUACGCCUCCGUGUCGGUCGUCGUCGUGACGGCCAUCUGCAUCUACAACUAUCUCUCGCGGACCCCGCGAAAGAGAUCGACGCGCCAAGAUGACGCAUUCGGGGAUCGGACCAGCGACGCCAUCGCCGAGAAAGCCAUCGCCACCGACAGCCCGCCCAGAAGAACGAGGAUUCCAGAGAAACAGAGAUUCGAUGAAGAUUCCGCCGUCGAGGAGAUCAAUGAGAGUCUCCACGAUGUCUCCAAGGAUUCUUUGUUCUACGCCAAACUCGUCAACGACAGCUCGCGUGGAAAUGAAAGAUUCGCCAGCGUUCCGCAGAGACUGCCCGAGGGCGGUGAUGGUGAUAAAAGCGGCUCUACCGAACAGCUUGUGCGAGACAUCUUGAAAGAAAGCUUUUCCAAGAAGAAGCCGCCCGUGCGAGAACAUCGAAAUGAAAGCUCUGUGGUCGGGAAACUCGCCAUUGAGAAACCUCUGACGGAUGAUUUGACUUUGAUCCCGCCUCGAGAGGAAAUUAAAGUUGACAAUGAUAAUGCUCUCUACGAAGAAAUCACCAAAACUCAAAUUAUUACGGGAGAAAAUUUGAAUGAAACCUCGCCUCAACCUUUAAAUGAGGAGCCUGUUGCGGUUGAAGCUUUCGGAGAAAGUUCAUUGGGAGGAAAUUCUGGCAGAAAUGAUGACGCAAGCGAAAACUUAUUCUCUGAAUUACUUCCGAAGGGAUUCGCUAGUCAAUUGCCUGUAGAAGAGCCUGUUGAGCCUGUUGUGAUAACUGCUUUUAAUGAAGGCUCAUCCCAGGAAAUACUUGGCAGGAAUGUUGACGUAAAUGAAAGCUUGUCUUCUGAUUUUAAUUUAAGGGAAAGCUCAUCCCCAUCGUCCGAAGGAGAACCUGUCGGGGUGACAGCUUCUAAGGAAGGCUUUCUCCUUGAAAAUCAUGUUCAAAAUGAUGACGUCAUUGAAAGCCUGUCCUCUGACUUCAUUUCAAAAGAAAGUUCGUUCUCAUCGCCUGGAGCAGAACCUGUUUUAGUGACAGCCUCCAAUGGAGGUUCUCUCUAUGAAAAUCCUUUCAAAAAUGACAACGUUAGUGAAACAUUGUCUUCUGACUUUAUUUCAAGAGAGGGGUCUUUCCCAUCGCCUGGAGCAGAAUCUAUUCCAGUGACAGCCUUCAAUGAAGGCUCUCUCCCUGAAAAGCCUUUCAAAAGUGAUGACGUCAAUGAAAGCUUGUCUCCCGAUUUACUUUCAGGAGAAGGCUCGUUUCCACCGUUGCAAGAAGAAUCUGUCGUGGCGCAAACUUUUGAUGAAAACCUUUUACGUGAGAAUUCGAUCAAGACUGAUGCCCCUAUCGCAAGCGAGUAUCCCGAACAAGAUAUACGCGACGAUAUCAAUCGAAUAUUACUCCAAGGAAAAUCCAUCGUGAACGAAAUUAAAAACCAGUCUUGUGAGCCUUUGGCCGAGGAAGAUAGUCACGCUAAAAACUUGAAAUCUUUCGACGGGGAAAGCAAAAUAGACGAGAGUCUUCCUCAGAAUGAUCUUCCGGUCAAUGCGGAUCUUCUGGUCAAUACGGAUCUUCCGGUCAUCACGAAUCUUCCGGAGAACGAACCUGCCGAGGAGGAAAGCCCCAUUGAAAAAACGAAAGUCAAAACUGCCUUUCAAAUGGAACUGGAGGCGAGGUUGAAGAAGUUAAAAGUUAGACGAGCAUCAAACGAAGAGUCAGUAAAUGAUACAGUCAAAAGUUUUGAAGAAAGCUUUUCAUCUCCGGUGAACAUCUCAAGGAGCAUCUCAAAUGAAGAAGCAGAACCUGCCCAAUUCGGACGGAAUGUUCAAGUUAUCGUCGACGAAAGCUCUUGUGAAAAAGCUCCCUCAGAAGGUGAUCUGGAACGAAAAAAAUCUAUCGAAAAUCAUCGGCUGUCCCUUUGGUGA
Molecule: long non-coding RNA, 1953 nt
Filed under: Bemisia tabaci
Lineage: Eukaryota; Metazoa; Arthropoda; Insecta; Hemiptera; Aleyrodidae
Description: lncRNA ENSSSA1NGG000214
Source: RNAcentral